ACGAACGCUGGCGGCGUGCUUAACACAUGCAAGUCGAACGGUGAACGAGGGAGCUUGCUCCCUCCGGAUCAGUGGCGAACGGGUGAGUAACACGUGAGCAAUCUGCCCCGAACUCUGGGAUAAGCGUUGGAAACGACGUCUAAUACCGGAUACGACGCGGGAGGGCAUCCUCUCCGCGUGGAAAGAACUUCGGUUCGGGAUGGGCUCGCGGCCUAUCAGCUUGUUGGUGAGGUAACGGCUCACCAAGGCGACGACGGGUAGCCGGCCUGAGAGGGUGACCGGCCACACUGGGACUGAGACACGGCCCAGACUCCUACGGGAGGCAGCAGUGGGGAAUAUUGCACAAUGGGCGCAAGCCUGAUGCAGCAACGCCGCGUGAGGGACGACGGCCUUCGGGUUGUAAACCUCUUUUAGCAGGGAAGAAGCGAAAGUGACGGUACCUGCAGAAAAAGCACCGGCUAACUACGUG
Molecule: ribosomal RNA, 469 nt
Filed under: uncultured bacterium
Lineage: Bacteria
Description: partial 16S ribosomal RNA
Rfam family: Bacterial small subunit ribosomal RNA
Source: RNAcentral